RNAcentral lists this long non-coding RNA (1220 nucleotides) under Mus musculus (house mouse). RNAcentral's name for it is "long non-coding RNA chr8:86696834-86698054". Lineage: Eukaryota; Metazoa; Chordata; Mammalia; Rodentia; Muridae. The record is from RNAcentral.
GGACUGGGGAACUGCAAAGCCAGUGUGGCCAAGACAGGCUUAGUGAGUGACUCUGAAGAGGUGUGAUCCGGAGAGUCUUGUGCUCAGGAAGCGUAACAUUGCUAGGCUGCCUCGCACGGACUGAGCCACAGACCCAGCGGUUCUUUCCAAAAUCUAAUUGCCUUGGUCUGAGGGUUUGAUUUUAAAACAGGAGUUUACUAUCUCAUUAUGCAACUGAGGCUAACCUCAAACUAACAUUUCUGCCUCAGCCUCCCAAUUGCUGGGGUUAUAGGCAGGCACCACUAUACCCAGCGCAACAGCCUGAGAUAGAAAAGACAGUCUUCAAAUCACAUAGAAUUGAAAGAAGGGUUAGAUACAUCUUGGGAAGAAAGAAAACGUUGUUUUCCCUUUUUGGGUUUGUGAGAAUAAGGCUGCCGUGCACAUGAAGUCCUCAUGUUCAGUUCUUUGGAUGUGCAGUGUAGGAGUGCAGUGUAUGAAUGGAAUCACAAGAUGCAUUGUAUUUUGUGUUGCAGUUUUUAAAGAACUACCAAACCGUUUUUUCUGACUCUGGCAUGCUGACUUCAAAACUUGCUACAUUGCUGUAGUAGUUAAAAUAGUAUUAUUAGUCUAAGAACAUAAAUACAGACAAUUGUAAUAAAAUGGAGAUAUAAAGAACAAAUACUAGGGUAGUGAGUUGUAUUUUAGCAAGGCUUUCAAGCCCAUUUGAUUAGGAAAGGAUGCUCUUCAACAAAUGGUGUUGAGAAAACUUGAUGUCAGUGUGCCUCCAAAAAAAAAAUAAUAAUUUCGCUUGGAAUCUUAACACCAAAAUUAACUAGAAAUGGACCAAGCUCUAAAAUAAAGAGCCAAUACUAUAAAACUUAUUUUUUAAAGAACCCUAGUAGAACUUUUAAUGAUAUAGUUGACUGGGUUUGUGCAUAAGGCAUCAGAAACAGGGAACAAAAAAUAAAAACAAGCUGGCCUUCAUCACAGUUAAAGUCUUGUAUAUUGGACUGGAAAGGUAGCUUUCAGAGUAAAGGUGCUUGCUGCCAGGCCUGACCACCUGAGCUCCAUCCCCCCAGUAAAAAACUGUUGUCUCAGCCUUCACCUGCCCUCAAACACUGAAAUCCCACUUUCUUUAGAAACAAAUACACCUUUCACAGUCUGAAAUAUUAUGCUCAAAGACCACAAAAUGUAGCUCUUGAACUUGUGGGACUGAGGUUGGGCAAGCAGUAUAGAGAAUU